GUUAGUCCGAAUCGGACGUGAGCAGUUCUUGCCUCAACAGCCAGUAACCUCUCGCAGUACCUCCGAAUCUCUCCAGCGUAAAAUCGAUUCACAAACAAAGGAACACCUAACACCAUGGCAGAACAAGGAACAGUAAAGUGGUUUAACGACGCCAAAGGCUACGGCUUCAUCAGCCGCCAGUCCGGCGAAGACGUUUUCGUGCAUUUCUCGGCAAUUCAAGCAGGCGGCUUCCGCAGCCUGCAAGAGGGCCAAACCGUGCAGUUCGACGUGACCAAGGGCCCCAAGGGCUGGCAAGCUGAGAACGUCCAGCCGCUGUAAACCAUCCCCUUAUUGCAAAAAGGCGAUCUCUAACCGGAGAUCGCCUUUUU
This 368-nucleotide unclassified non-coding RNA is filed under the name Acidobacteriia bacterium SbA2. RNAcentral's name for it is "Solibacteres bacterium SbA2 cspA". The record is from RNAcentral. Lineage: Bacteria; Pseudomonadati; Acidobacteriota; Terriglobia.